AUAAACUACCUGGGAGGCCCUUCUUACAGACCAAACGUCCUUAUAGAAAUGGCUUUCUAAAUGAAAUAAAUGGACAAGACUCCUUUUUCUUCAUUGAGCAAAUAUAUUUACAGCAAGACACCAGGGAUCCUUGGAGGUAUCAUUUUUCAGGACAUUCCUUUCUACAGAAUCAUACUAUCUUCAAGUCCACUCCCACAUAUGCUUGAGGAGGCAACAUAUGUACCAAAGCCUGUCAGUUGGAGUUGCAAGGCCUCACUGCACCAAUCUGAAGUCUUGGGGAACUGUUGUGAACCACUGAGUCUCCAGGAGAGGAAACCAACCUCUGGAUGAACAAUGCCAGGACAGGAGAUGUUUUCUCUGUAAGGUGCUCUAAAGCCUAGACACCCAUCUCUCUGCAGUCCCAGCUGCCAUGGCCCCUUUUCUCCACCUUAAGCUACAAAGACUUUGUCUGGAUUGAGCAGAGCCUUCAGUUCCAUGUAGGAUUUAAGUCUUCUGCUCCCUUAUGAUCAGGCUGCAUCUUUAGGGUACAUCUCUAGGAUCUUCUCUUUGACCACAGGACAUGAGAUCCAGGCCAUGGCAAAGAUGGCAUUCAAAAGCCUCACCUUUUCUCCACCCGGGAGACCAUUCGCUUCUUAAGAACUUGCAAAGCUCUAACCUGAAUUCUUUCAGGAAAAGGAAGAGCAAACAGAAGGGGGUGAAAGAUAAUGUGACAAGGAAUGUUUCUUGGAAUGUUAAUAUUUUUGAAAUAAUUAGGGGUGGGGCAAGAUACCCAGUGUGGUGUAGCGGACUCAGGAGGCCUAGAUUCAAAUCCUUACUCAAUCAUGAAAGCUCACUGGGGGAGUGAAACUAGUAAAACCACUUCUUGAAUACCUCACUUAAGGAUUGCUGCAAGUUGGUUCCUGGUUGCUGGCACACCACUGUGGGAAGCUCCUGCUCAAGGCUGUUAGUUGUAAUCUGUUACAGUGAGAGCAAACACUCCUGGCAGAGAAGCAGCAGCUCCCAGUGGGCGGGGUGACCUCUCAUUCUACCUUUUCCCUUAGAAUUAGAUCAUAAGAUCAAAGACUUUCUCCGGCCAAUCGUAAUGGCGAUUAGGUAACUAGUGUCUUAUCUGAAUUCUCACAACAUAUGAUGUAACUCUUGCUGUAUUAAUAAAAAGAGUUCUCAAGGCAUUGCUUGGGGCUCCACUGGAUCGGA
Pogona vitticeps (central bearded dragon) is the source of this 1194-nucleotide non-coding RNA. Lineage: Eukaryota; Metazoa; Chordata; Lepidosauria; Squamata; Agamidae. The record is from RefSeq and is a predicted model, not a curated record.